GGGGGAGGCGGAGGGGCAGGGCCGGGGCUGGGAGGGGCCGGGGGAGCCUUAUGGAAGCCAGACCUGAGGGAAAGAGCCGAGGGAGGAGCCGCUAUUGAAAGAGAAGGCGGGGCUGAGGGCGGGGCUUCAGGAGACGAGGCGGAGCUGGGAGAAAGGUGGGGGAGGAGCUGGGGGAAAGGGAGGGAGGAGGAGGAGGGGCUAGGCGCCUGGUGCGCGGUGACCUCAGAGGCAGCAGUCAAGGUGCAGUCGCAGCGUCCUUGGCGACCUAACUGACCCUCCGAAGGUACCCUGGGGGACGCGGAGGCCGGGAGAGGGCGGCACCUCUAGGCUGAGUCCUGUGCCCGGAGAGUCAGGGUCUCCUUCUUCCAGGCCACCGCGGGCGUGCCUGGGCGUCCUGAGGGGCAGUCGUGAUAUGGGCUUUGUUUGCAGAUUCCUCCUCUGGCCCUCGGGGGCUGCUCUCCUCCUCCCUUUGCAGGCCUGCUCUGCACUCAGCGUUCACCUAGACUCUGGAAGUAAGACCCACUCGGCUAACUCCUGAGUAUGUGCAUGCUCGCUGUGGCGACUUUGGAAAGUACAGAAAGUAUAUGA
RNAcentral lists this long non-coding RNA (588 nucleotides) under Equus asinus (donkey). Its description in RNAcentral is "lncRNA (ENSEASG00005036902.1)". Lineage: Eukaryota; Metazoa; Chordata; Mammalia; Perissodactyla; Equidae. The record is from RNAcentral.